RNAcentral lists this ribosomal RNA (253 nucleotides) under uncultured bacterium. RNAcentral's name for it is "partial 16S ribosomal RNA". It matches the Rfam family "Bacterial small subunit ribosomal RNA", at positions 524 to 776 of the family's 1533-position model. The record is from RNAcentral.
UACGUAGGUGGCGAGCGUUGUCCGGAUUUACUGGGCGUAAAGAGCGCGCAGGCGGUCGUACAAGUCGCGUGUGAAAGCCCCCGGCUCAACUGGGGAGGGUCACGCGAUACUGUUCGACUCGAAGGCAGGAGAGGGAAGUGGAAUUCCCGGUGUAGUGGUGAAAUGCGUAGAUAUCGAGAGGAACACCUGCGGCGAAGGCGGGUUGCUGGGCCGACACUGACGCUGAAGCGCGAAAGCUAGGGGAGCGAACGGG